AUGAGAGUUUGAUCCUGGCUCAGAACGAACGCUGGCGGCAGGCUUAACACAUGCAAGUCGAACGAUAUAGUGGCAGACGGGUGAGUAACGCGUGGGAACGUGCCUAUUGGUUCGGAAUAGCCCCGGGAAACUGGGUGUAAUACCGAAUGUGCCCUUCGGGGGAAAGAUUUAUCGCUAAGAGAUGGACCCGCGUUGGAUUAGAUAGUUGGUGAGGUAACGGCUCACCAAGUCGACGAUCUUUAGGGGGUCUGAGAGGAUGAUCCCCCACACUGGUACUGAGAUACGGACCAGACUCCUACGGGAGGCAGCAGUGGGGAAU
Molecule: ribosomal RNA, 319 nt
Filed under: uncultured Vexilliferidae
Lineage: Eukaryota; Discosea; Flabellinia; Dactylopodida; Vexilliferidae
Description: partial Bacterial small subunit ribosomal RNA
Rfam family: Bacterial small subunit ribosomal RNA
Source: RNAcentral